This 435-nucleotide ribosomal RNA is filed under the name uncultured bacterium. RNAcentral describes it as "partial 16S ribosomal RNA". It matches the Rfam family "Bacterial small subunit ribosomal RNA", at positions 29 to 507 of the family's 1533-position model. The record is from RNAcentral.
AGCGAACGCUGGCGGCAGGCUUAACACAUGCCAGUCGAGCGGGCAUAGCAAUAUGUCGGCGGCAGACGGGUGGGUAACGCGUGGGAACGUACCUUUUGGUUCGGAACAACACAGGGAAACGUGUGCUAAUACCGGAUAAGCCCUUACGGGGAAAGAUUUAUCGCCGCAAGAUCGGCGCGCGGCUGAGUAGCUAGUUGGUGAGGUAAUGGCUCGCCAAGGCGACGAUCAGUAGCUGGUCUGAGAGGAUGAUCAGCCACAUUGGGACUGAGACACGGCGCAAACUCCUACGGGAGGCAGCAGUGGGGAAUAUUAGACAAUGAGCGCGAGCCUGAUCCAGCCAUGCCGCGUGAGUGAUGAAGGCCCUAGGGUUGUAAAGCUCUUUUGUGCGGGAAGAUAAUGACGGUACCGGAAGAAUAAGCCCCGGCUAACUUCGUG